Long non-coding RNA from Astyanax mexicanus (Mexican tetra), 467 nucleotides. RefSeq lists it as uncharacterized. The transcript is spliced from 3 exons. NCBI's taxonomy places the organism in Eukaryota, Metazoa, Chordata, Actinopteri, Characiformes, Acestrorhamphidae. The record is from RefSeq and is a predicted model, not a curated record.
AAAAAAAGGCACAUGGUGAAAGUGCAGUGGGAGCUAGUAGCAUAUCUUGGCUGAAGUUCAAAGAAAUGGCCUUUGAUCAAAGCCCAUUGUAAAUGCACACCCACGUCGUGGAUCUGAAAUCAGCUCCUCCAGUGAGACCCACCCCUCCUUUCCAAUUAGUGCAACCCCCACAGAGCACCUCAGAGGAAAGACAGAACCUCCGUUAAAUGGCCUGAACCUGCUAACCCAUGAUGAUAACCCAUCACAAAGCCCUGCGCCCCUCCUGUAUACCCAUGUGUUGGAGUCUCCUCUGAGGAGGGCAGGCUCCUCCUUCUCUCUCUUACCAACACUUAUGCUCAUGUGUCUCGCCCUGGAGAUGGAAUCGCAUCGCAGCAUCACUCUGCAUGGAACCCCCUGCCUGCCCCCGCUGAGGGAUAGAGGCACUCCACUGCCAUUUGCUAUAGUGUAAGUAUAGUAGUGCAACACCU